AACAGUCCAUGUACCACCCUGAAUGUGUCUGAUCUCGUCUGAUCUUGGAAGCUAAGCAGGGUCUGUCCUGGUUAGUACUUAUAAGGAGAAAUGGCAUCAACGGUGU
Molecule: ribosomal RNA, 106 nt
Filed under: Microcebus murinus (gray mouse lemur)
Lineage: Eukaryota; Metazoa; Chordata; Mammalia; Primates; Cheirogaleidae
Source: RNAcentral